UCCCGUCCCGGCCUGGCGGGCACGGCACAAACGGCACCGGCACCGCCGGGCCGGGCCGCGGGACCGCCGGGGAGGCCCUGGGGGCGGGCACCGGGGCGCGACAGCGGCGGCUCCGCCCCUUCCGGGCGGCGGGAGGCGGGGGCGCCUCCGAGACCGGGACCGGGUCCGAGGCGGGCGGUGACGGUGUCUGUGCCCCGCCGAGGGCGGCUGCGUCUCCUCCUCCGCUGGCCGCCGAGCGCAGAGCCUGGUCCCGGGGGCGCUGGAUGUGUCGGGCUGUGGCCGUCCCGGGAGAGCCGUGGCCGUGCCGCGCCGCCAGCGAUGAUUCCCCGCUGACAGGCUGAGCGGCACCGACUGCAGCCGGGGAUGGUUCCACCACUAACUGCGGGGAGGCCCAGGUAGGAGCCAGGCCAUGGGGGCCACGCCGGGGCCGGCACGUCCCCGCUGCCCUCCGUAGCCCGACAGCAGCCGGCAGCCACUCUGAGGGCCACCAUGGAGCGGCCCCCGCGUGUGCCCGGGCCCCGCUGGCUCCUGGGCUGCUUCAGGCGGGAGCCACAGGCCGUGCGGGAGGAGACGCUGCCGGAGCCGGAGGAAGCCGAGGAGACGCGCGUGGCGCUGUCCCCGGGCGAGGGCCGCUCGCUGGAGGAGUGUCCGUUGUGCCUGCUGUCCCAGCCCCCCGAGGCCUUUCCCACUCUGGCCUGCUGCGCCCACCGCUCGUGCCGGGCCUGCCUGGAGCAGUACCUGCGCCUGGCCAUCACCGAGAGCCGCGUGCUGGUGUCGUGCCCGCACUGCCCCGCCGCGCUCCCCCCCGCCGACGUGCGCCGGCUGCUGCCGGAGCCCGCCCUCCGCGACAAGUACGAGGAGUUCCUGCUGCGGCGGCUGCUGGUGGCCGACCCCGGCACCCGCUGGUGCCCCGCGCCCGACUGCAGCUAUGCUGUCCUCGCCCACGGCUGUGCCGAGUGUCCCCGCCUCACCUGCGGGCGCGAGGGCUGUGGCACCGAGUUCUGCUACCACUGCCGGCAGCCCUGGCAUCCCGAUGGCCCCUGUGUGCCAGCGCCACCGGCCUCUGGCCUGGCCACCCCCACAGCACAGCUGACCCAGCCCGAGGACUCAGCCCACGCUGAGGCUGAGGACAUCAAGGUCUGUCCCCGCUGCAGCGCCUUCAUCAUGAAGAUCAACGAUGGGAGCUGCAACCGCAUGAACUGCACGGUCUGCGGGUGCCUCUUCUGCUGGCUCUGCCUGCGGGAGAUCUCUGACGUGCACUUCCUGAGCCCCUCUGGCUGUACUUUCUGGGGGAAGAGGCCAUGGUCGCGGACCCGGAGGAUCCUGUGGCAGCUGGGCAUGGUGCUGGGUGCACCCAUGGUCAUCUCCCUCGUCGCAGGCGUUGCUGUCCCUGUCAUUACCAUUGGGAUCCCCAUCUACAUGGGUAGGAAGGUGCUGGGCCAGAGCCGGCGGAGCAGCCUGUCAGGGUGCCAGCAGUGCCUCUCUGUCACCAGCAGUGUCCUUCUCUCUCUCUUUGUGUCCCCCAUCAUAACAGCCAUCACCGUGGGUAUCGGUGUGCCCCUGAUGCUCACCUACGUGUACGGGACCGUGGUGCUGUCACUGUGCCGGAGCCGCUGGGGCUGUGGGGGUGGCCGCACAUCUGGAGACGUUGGCAUGGUAGAGCUGGAGAACCUGGCCAAGUUGAAUGAGCUGUGGUCGGUGCUGCCCAGCCCAAACCGCAGCCACAGGCCAGGUGAGGACGGAACCCCAGACCCCACCGCCUCCCUCCCCAGCAGCAGCCACAGCCAGCGCCCCAGGCCAGCAUGGGACAGCCAGUCAGCCAGCACGGUGGCACUGGCGGGGAGCAUGCUGAGCGAGGGCCAGGACACCUCCGACAGGGAAGGCAUCACCAUCGAGGUGGAGGUGUCGGUUGAAGCGGUGCCGCGUCCUGCCCGGCAGCAGAGCCUGAGCAGCGCCCUGUCUGGACAGAGUCUCUCUGGGGACUCCCUGGGAGCUACCAGUGACAGGGGUAGCUCUGUGGGUGUCCCUGUGGAGUGAGAGGGUUGAGAGGAAGAGCCUCGAUCCGCACACAAGCCCAGUGCUCUCCUGUGGCAGAGCCAGUCCCCCUCUGCGGGCACUCCCAGCCCCAAGAGGUGGGUCCCUGUGGCUUGCCGGGUCUGUGGCUCUUUCUGCUGCACAGGGAGAGCCCACCUUUCCAUCUGUGUUUUGCAGCCCAGGGACUUCACUCCUGCAGGAGCAGCCACAGACACAGACUGUCUCCAGAGGCUCGUGUCUGCUCUGAGAAUCCUCAGCAGGAUCCCUCAUCCUGGGGGAACCGGGAACCACAGGCCAAAGCCCGGCAGUGCUCCAAGACCCCAAGGACAAAUGUCCUUCCCCCCCACCUUCCUCAUCUC
Molecule: RNA transcript, 2393 nt
Organism: Myiozetetes cayanensis
Lineage: Eukaryota; Metazoa; Chordata; Aves; Passeriformes; Tyrannidae
Gene name: E3 ubiquitin-protein ligase RNF19B-like
Exons: 12
Source: RefSeq, a predicted model, not a curated record